RNAcentral lists this ribosomal RNA (253 nucleotides) under uncultured bacterium. RNAcentral's name for it is "partial 16S ribosomal RNA". It matches the Rfam family "Bacterial small subunit ribosomal RNA", at positions 524 to 776 of the family's 1533-position model. The record is from RNAcentral.
UACGUAGGUGGCGAACGUUGUCCGGAUUUACUGGGCGUAAAGCGCGCGCAGGCGGACCGAUAAGUCAGAGGUGAAAUCUCCCGGCUCAACUGGGAGCGGCCCUUUGAUACUGUCGGUCUUGAGAUGCCUAGAGGAGAGUGGAAUUCCCGGUGUAGUGGUGGAAUGCGUAGAUAUCGGGAGGAACACCAGUGGCGAAGGCGGUCUUCUGGGAUGAUCCUGACGCUCAGACACGAAAGCUAGGGGAGCGAACGGG